AAAAAAAAGGAAAAAAAAAAACCCUCAAGAGCUCUAAAAAAGAAGGAAAAAAUUUUCGAAAACGGAGAAGUGGAUAAAAAAAAGGGAAAAUCUAUGGCCCAAACUGCCAUAAAACUUCCAAAACUAAGGGAAAAAUAAAUAAAUAAACCUGCCAUAAACCACCGCUGUUUGGCUGAUCAUCUCAUCUCACCACCAUCAGCCGGACGCCGCUUCAUCGCAUAGAAAACCAAUUCACUAAAUCCCCACCCACGCGCCUACGCGCGAAAUCGACGCGCUCAUCAGAGACGAGCGGCGACCGGCAGAGAGGGCAGUUGAAAUUGAGAUGAUCAAGCCAGCCAUCAAAGCACUCUUUGUGAAAGACAUGGCGGCAAUCAAGCUUCCUGAUCUGGUCCCCAUCCCUUAGGGUGCACAAGCACACCACACAAUCCGAUUCUCCCUUAUUGGUACCAUCGCCUCUACCACAACAGUACCUGUAAGAGAAAACGCGGUUGAGAUUAAGCUGCUCGGCAAGGACGAUGAGGCCAGCGAGGCCAGAGCCCAUUGAACCCAAGAGGUCAUCGUGGACUACGCCGCGUGAAGGGACGAAUCGGGAAAGACCCAAGGAGUGGAAGAGGGUGAAGAGUAAAGAACGGAGAUGAUCGACGCAUUUAGCGAUGAGAGCUAGCAGCAAUAAGGGGAUUGAAUCAGACGAUAAGUCGUUUAGCCGGUUCUGUAAGCCCAUCUUCUUCUUCGUCUUGUUCCUCCGUUGUAUGUGUGUGGAAGGGAAAGAGAGUUUGGGUUUUGUUUUCACAGAAAGGGAGGGUUGUGUAAUUAUUUUAUAAGCAGUAAAUGCGAGUAGAGGCACAAAAGGAGACCUGGAGGUAGAAGCUCGCAGACCUAAAGAGUGGGGGAUAUUGGGUCUCAUCAAACGCCUGUCUGGUGGGUCCUAAAGAAAAUUUUCUUUU
This 944-nucleotide unclassified non-coding RNA is filed under the name Hevea brasiliensis (rubber tree). Lineage: Eukaryota; Viridiplantae; Streptophyta; Magnoliopsida; Malpighiales; Euphorbiaceae. The record is from RNAcentral.